UUUCCCCAAGUUUUGGGGUGGUUUGAGCAUCGUUUGUCCACGUUUGGGGUUGUUUAAAAAUCCUUUGUGGAAGUUUGGGGUGGUCUGAUCGUUGCUUCCCAAAGUUUUGGGGUGGUUUGAGCAUCGCUUGUCCAGAUUUGGGGUGGUUUAAAAAUCCUUUGUGGAGGUUUGGGGUGGUCUGAUCGUUGCUUCCCAAAGUUUUGGGGUGGUUUGAGCAUCGUCUGUCCAAGUUUGGGGUCAUUGAAAAGUCACUUGUCAAAAUUUGGGGUGGUUUGAUCAUUGCUUCCCAAAGUUCUGGGGUGGUUUGAGCAUCACCUGUCAAAGUUUGGGGUUGUUUAAAAAUCCUUUGUGGAGGUUUGGGGGGGUUUGAUCGUUGUUUCCCAAAGUUUUGGGGUGGUUUGAGCAUCGUCUGUCCAAGUUUGGGGUUGUUAUAAAAUCCUCUGUCAAAGUUUCCCAAAGUUUGGGGUGGUUUGAGCAUCACCUGUGAAAGUUUGGGGUUGUUUAAAAAUCCUUUGUGGAGGUUUGAGGUGGUCUGAUCGUUGCUUCCCAAAGUUUUGGGGUGGUUUGAGCAUCGUCUGUCCAAGUUUGGGGUUGUUAUAAAAUCCUCUGUCAAAGUUUCCCAAAGUUUGGGGUGGUUUGAGCAUCACCUGUGAAAGUUUGGGGUUGUUUAAAAAUCCUUUGUGGAGGU
Lepidothrix coronata (blue-crowned manakin) is the source of this 688-nucleotide long non-coding RNA. RefSeq lists it as uncharacterized. NCBI's taxonomy places the organism in Eukaryota, Metazoa, Chordata, Aves, Passeriformes, Pipridae. The transcript has 3 exons. The record is from RefSeq and is a predicted model, not a curated record.